GACAAACAGGUCGAGCUAAAAUUAGUAACAGUAAAAAAGGAGGUUAUGUGAUUAGGUUAUUUUAGGAGAAAUAAUGCUUUUUAGGGAGGUGGAAUUUGGAUAAAAAGAGGUAAUUUAGGUUUUUCUUUUUCUGAGGCCUCGAAAUUUUGUAUUUAAGACCGGGAUUAGAUACCCCGUUAUUCAAAAUGUAAACUUUAAUUAAGUACAAUUUACUUGAGUAUUACGAGUAUAGAAAGGCAUAUAUCUUAAAUAUAUUUCUUAAAACUCAAAAGACUUGGCGGUGCCUUAUAUCCUUCCAGGGGAACCUGUCCUGUAAUCGAUAGUCCACGAUGUAGCUUUCUUUCCUUUGAAUUUGUAUCAGCUUGUAUACCGUCGUCGUCAGGUUACCUUUAAGAGUAAUGAAGUUAUCAGUUAGAAUUAGAAAAUGGCUUAGCUGGUAUGUUGUUAGCGGCCUAUGUAAAUUUUAAACGUCAGAUCAAGGUGCAGCUUAUAGGGGAGUAGAGAUGGGUUACAAUAAUUAGUUAUUAUACGAAUUUUUUGUUGUGAUAGCAAAAUUGAAGGAGGACUUGGAAGUAAUUGGUUAAUAGAUAAGAGAGCUUAAAUGAAAAUUAGGCUCUGAGGUGCGC
This 626-nucleotide ribosomal RNA is filed under the name Bathymophila sp. 18 LS-2016. Its description in RNAcentral is "partial 12S ribosomal RNA". The record is from RNAcentral. Lineage: Eukaryota; Metazoa; Mollusca; Gastropoda; Trochida; Solariellidae.